AUGUUCUUGGAUUCUUCUUAUUCCAAUUUGAAUGACAAGCUUAUGGUGAAUCACUUCAUCGACCACAACACCUGGAAUCUCUCUUCUUGCUCGGUCCCAGAUUCCAUAAAGGUACUUUUCCUUGUAAGAGACCUUCUUGAGGAAAUGAAGCCAAAAGAGCAAGAAGUCGAGAUUUUUACUGAAAAAUACACACAUGGCGUUCAACAUGGCGUCUACCAAGGGAGGAGCCAUGAUGUGUAA
This is a non-coding RNA of Vicia faba (fava bean), 240 nucleotides long. The record is from the annotation of a GenBank genome assembly. Lineage: Eukaryota; Viridiplantae; Streptophyta; Magnoliopsida; Fabales; Fabaceae.